RNAcentral lists this long non-coding RNA (2616 nucleotides) under Equus asinus (donkey). RNAcentral's name for it is "lncRNA (ENSEASG00005025636.1)". Lineage: Eukaryota; Metazoa; Chordata; Mammalia; Perissodactyla; Equidae. The record is from RNAcentral.
GGAAACUAUUUUAACAAGCUCACUAGGUGGUUCUUAUGAAUGUUAGAGUUUGCGAACCACAGUUCUCACCCAGGUGGAGUUUAGCUCCCUUUACAGGAAGUUUCGUGUGAAACUUAGCUUCCUUUGGGCUGUUCCUGCCUGAGAAAUAUGGUAGGAGCAGCAAGAAAUUUUCCCAGCCACUAAUGCCUAAAGUAUUUGUUCACUGAAGCUCUGCAUGUUUUAAGUGAUGGAAAGACUCAUCUAAUCCCCAUGUUGGGUGCACCUGCUUAGAUCUGUAAGUUCCAAAAGUCUGUACAGCCUGUGUAUGCUGAGGUUGCAGAGGUGUGGGGUUGCUGAGGGCCUGUGACAUGGGUCUCAUUAAACUGCUGUAUCUUAAAGCAGUCAAGGACCUAGAAACCCUGUGCUUACUAAGGUGCUGACGCCUCCUAUCCCAGCCACACCUGAAGCGCCCUUUUCUCUGGAUGUAUCUUAAAUCUUCAAAGCCCUAUCUUUGUGCCUGUUCCUUAAGCUUUCCUGGUUUGUGGACCGUGUGUGGUGGCUGGGGGUGAGGAGGAAACAAAUCAAACCCCCCUCCUCUGAGUUCAGAACCAACAGAGAAGUAGGAUCAGGACAUCACUAGGGAUCAAUGCAUCAAUUUUACUGCUGAUAAAGUUGAAUUGGAAAAUGCAGCUGGGAAUCCAGCCACCGUGGAGCUUCCUCACACCUUCCUCCGGGAUUGAACCUCCCCACCCUAAAUGCCGGCUUCCUGCUCUGCCGGGGAGGUUGCCAGAUGCUGCGUUGUCACUAGAGCUAGUGCAGCCUUUCCCCAACCUCCCAAUCAGCUCGUUUACUUGGUCUUUGGCGAAGAAGACCUAGGAGAGGUGCUUUGGUACCAUACCUUCCUGAGUGGGUGUGAGGAUGGAGGAAUAAGUUUUUCUCCGGCUGUGGGAACAACAUUUGAGGUUAUUGACAUCAAAGAAAGAGUCUAGAAUGGGAAGAGGGGAAAGUCAGGACUAAGGCUUGAGGAAGGCUCACCGUAAAUGUGGUUUCAAGGAGGAAGCCCCAGCCAAAGAAACUGAGAGGAGAGACCAGAGAAAGGAGGAGGACCAGGAGCCUGUGGUGUCAGAGGCUGGGUGAAGAGCAUUUUCAGGCCAGCACUGCUCCAGGUGCAGGAGAAAUUGGAAUGAACUGAAAUGACAAAAACCCUGCCCCCAUGCCCUGUACACUCUACUGGGGAAAACAAGCAAUAAACAAGCCCUGUGAUGCAGAACUCAGGCCUCUAUGGACCGCUUGUCCAGAUCUAAAGGUGUUUCCUGAGGGCCGAAUUGGCCUCGUAUGCAGGUUCCUCUGCAGACCACAGCAACGCACAGAAGAUGUGGCACUGCCUCCUGGCACGCACACAGGGCCGGCUCCCCCAGCUACACAUCAAACACCAACUCUGCUGCCCAUGCCGGAUGCCAAGUGAGAUAAUAUGUCCUUGCCUCCUGCUUUCCUGAGAUGAGUAACAAAAUAAUCCUAGCUGCUAUCAUUCAUGCGGUAGCCACAAGCUCUAAGCUGGUGCAGAAUAUACUCUUCAUCUGCAAAGUGAGUACUAACAAUAACCCUGCUUUGCAGAUGAUGAAACCAGAGCUUUAAAGAAGCCUCUAACCUAUUACAACUCAUGGUACAGGCAUUUGGUCCCGGGACUACCCAUCUCCAGUAUGAAAUCCCUGUAUUUCUCUCUUUUCCUCUGAAAAUCUGUCUCUGUCUUGAUCCCUGGUCUUGGAGGAAGAAAAGUUCUUUCAAUGCAAAGUUUCCUCCUCCAUCUUGAGCUUGGUUUCCUCCUGUCUCCCACUGCACCUCCCUACAUUAACUGUCCCCUCCCUCUCUCAUAUAGAUCAGCCUCUCCUCCCCACUGCCUCUUCCCUACAAAUGCAUUUGGUCUGCCCGCCUUCACCAAUCACUCCUGCUUCAUCUGCCUCCUUGCUUCACUGUCAGCUUGUCAAAAGGAAGGGUGUUUCAGUUUGGCCACCUCUUCUGUUCCCUCAUGCACUCCUUGGCUGUCCAGUCACCUACUUGGUGAGCAAAGCCUUGGUCCCUUCCCUGACACUGUGUGUCUUGGGUCCCUUCUCUUCCCUCCUGGGUGGGCACCAUGUCAUCUCCUACCCUUUUGUUUCUCAGUGCCUGGGACAGUGCCCUGAAUAGCAAGGGCGAUGGUGAUGACCUCACAUUCAGAACUGGUCAAAAAUCAAGACAAACACUUCCCAGGGGCAGGGAGCUAGCUGAGGUGGGGCUCCCAGGGAAAUUCCUUUGGGCUGGAGUUCUGUUCAGCAGAAUGACGACACACUAUUGCCAUUUUUAGAGCAGUGAUUACCAAAUGGAAAUACCCUAUUUCACCAGAGACUGAGAUCCGAAGUCACUCGCUUCAUAGCUAAAUGUCAUUUACCUCUUCACUGUAACUGAGGCGCUGAGAAACAAGCACAUGACUACAUGCUAGGGGAUUCAAUUCCUGUUUUUCCUUCCUGUUUGUCCUCUGUUAAAAUAAAAAAAGAAUUACCUAAAAGAAACUUCUUGGUAUUGUUAUCCUGAGAGUGUAUUACUACCACAUAUAUGGAGAUAAUGUUAAAUGAAACAAUAAAUAGUUUUUCAGUUGUUGGU